Entelurus aequoreus (snake pipefish) is the source of this 1288-nucleotide long non-coding RNA. RefSeq lists it as uncharacterized. Lineage: Eukaryota; Metazoa; Chordata; Actinopteri; Syngnathiformes; Syngnathidae. The transcript has 3 exons. The record is from RefSeq and is a predicted model, not a curated record.
UCAGGACACUCUCAAAUUUCAUGAUGGCAAAGAAGGGGACCUGUGGGGAAAAUAGCAUAGACUAAAACAUUGUUUUUUUCCGGAUAAAUUGUGGUAAGUUUACAUGUUUUAAUUUGCUGUACAUGUGUUCUUAAAUGGAAAAAAAAUAUGAACAAUCUAACUUGUUGUUUUCUAUGUAGAUGCUGCUAUUGCCACAUUUGAAAACCAGAGUAAAAUUAAAACUAAAAUUACAAUGUGAUGUUGCUAUUGCCACAUUCUAAAACCACAGAGGGUAACAUUAGGACUACGAUGUCAAUAUGUAGCCUUUGGGACUGUGUGACAAGGGGUGGCACUUUUGUGACUUCUGCUGUGCUUUAUUGUGAACUUCUGGAUCUGCCUACCGGGAGACUUCUGGCCAUGAAAACCAGCUGCUGGGUCUCUUCCACACCAGAGUCCGUUUGGAGAGACUGGAGGAGAUGCAGAUGAAGAGACAGGGCUGCGGAGCUGGUGCUGAGCACCGAGACGGACAAGCUUCACAGUGUCUUGGCUGAAUGAGCAGGUAUCGGACACCUCGGUCUCCUUAGACGCAUUCUCGCUCAUCCAUGCAGACUGGACACUGGCCGAGAGUUAGUGGGCGGCCGAGGGUGGAGUCGGCUCGCGUUUGCUUUGUUGGGUUUGCUCCUUUCUCUGGCCAUGCUCCCCCUACCCCAGCAGACGAUGGCUUGGAACACCGCAGAGGCCACCACAGUGUAUAUAUGUUUUUUUGUUUUUUAUGUGGUUUUACUUUUGUGGCUGUGUAGAAGUGGCUGGUUGCAUCAGCUCUGCUCUUUUAAUGUCUUUAAUGUCCUUUGUGUUCUUUGAUGUUUCCCUCUUACACACAUGUUUAAGUGUGCUAUGGCUAUGAUUUUUUUUCCCUUGGCGUCAGUCUGGACCCCCUCCCUCUAGGGGCCCAGGCUUGGACUGAUUUAUUUUUUCUCCCCAGCGUUUACUUGUUUCUUACCUUUUUUGUAAGGGGCACCGGAAGUUGGCAGACCCGUCAGCGAUCCUGUUCUGUCUCCCUGUAAUGUGUGUUUGCUCUUGAAUAGGAUUUUGCUGAAAAUCUUAAUUUCCCUUUGGGGAUUAUUAAAGUAUUUCUGAUUCUGAUUUGUUAAUCCACUGUAAAAUGUCAUGUACAUCUGUAACCAAACUUCUUUAUUGCAAGUUACUCAACAACUUAAGCAUUUUGGUGAUAAAGAUUGAGUUUGUAAAAUUCACUAUUAAUACACAUACAGUUGGGCCUUCAACAGUGCACUCAUGUUGUAAUGUAAGA